Molecule: ribosomal RNA, 460 nt
Filed under: uncultured bacterium
Lineage: Bacteria
Description: partial 16S ribosomal RNA
Rfam family: Bacterial small subunit ribosomal RNA
Source: RNAcentral
CCUACGGGUGGCAGCAGUGAGGAAUCUUGGUCAAUGGACGAGAGUCUGAACCAGCCAAGUAGCGUGAAGGAUGACUGCCCUAUGGGUUGUAAACUUCUUUUGUAUGGGAAUAAAAUGUUCCACGUGUGUGCUUUUGUAUGUACCAUAUUAAUAAGGAUCGGCUAACUCCGUGCCAGCAGCCGCGGUACUCCGGAGGAUCCGAGCGUUAUCCGUAUUUAUUGGGUUUAAAGGGAGCGUAGAUGGGUUGUUAAGUCAGUUGUGAAAGUUUGCGGCUCAACCGUAUACUUGCAAUUGAGACUGGCAGCCUGGAGUACAGGUGAGGUAGGCGGAAUUCGUGGUGUAGCGGUGAAAUGCAUAGAUAUCACGAAGAACUCCGAUUGCGAAGGCAGCCUACUAGACUGCAACUGACAUUGAGGCUCGAAAGUGUGGGUAUCAAACAGGAUUAGAUACCCCGGUAGUC